RNAcentral lists this ribosomal RNA (440 nucleotides) under uncultured bacterium. Its description in RNAcentral is "partial 16S ribosomal RNA". It matches the Rfam family "Bacterial small subunit ribosomal RNA", at positions 338 to 795 of the family's 1533-position model. The record is from RNAcentral.
CCUACGGGAGGCAGCAGUGGGGAAUAUUGCACAAUGGGGGAAACCCUGAUGCAGCGACGCCGCGUGAGUGAAGAAGUAUCUCGGUACGUAAAGCUCUAUCAGCAGGAAAGAAAAUGACGGUACCUGACUAAGAAGCUCCGGCGAACGACGUGCCAGCAGCCGCGGUUAUACGUAGGGGGCAAGCGUUAUCCGGAUUUACUGGGGUUAAAGGGAGCGUAGACGGCGCUGCAAGUCAGGAGUGAAAGCCCAUGGCUUAACCAUGGUACUGCUCUGGAAACUGUAGGGCUUGAGUGCGGGAGGGGCAGGCGGAAUUCCUGGUGUAGCGGUGAAAUGCGUAGAUAUUAGGAGGAACACCGACUGCGAAGGCGGCCUGCUGGACCGUAACUGACGUUGAGGCUCGAAAGCGUGGGGAGCAAACAGGAUUAGAUACCCGAGUAGUC